UACGUAGGGUGCGAGCGUUAUCGGAAUUACUGGGCGUAAAGCGUGCGCAGGCGGUUUUGUAAGUUAGAGGUGAAAGCCCGGAGCUCAACUCCGGAACUGCCUUUAAAACUGCAUCGCUUGAAUCCAGGAGAGGUGAGUGGAAUUCCGAGUGUAGAGGUGAAAUUCGUAGAUAUUCGGAAGAACACCAGUGGCGAAGGCGGCUCACUGGACUGGUAUUGACGCUGAGGUGGCGAAAGCGUGGGGAGCAAACAGG
Molecule: ribosomal RNA, 253 nt
Filed under: uncultured bacterium
Lineage: Bacteria
Description: partial 16S ribosomal RNA
Rfam family: Bacterial small subunit ribosomal RNA
Source: RNAcentral